GACGAACGCUGGCGGCGUGCUUAACACAUGCAAGUCGAACGGAAAGGCCCUGCUUUUGUGGGGUGCUCGAGUGGCGAACGGGUGAGUAACACGUGAGUAACCUGCCCUUGACUUUGGGAUAACUUCAGGAAACUGGGGCUAAUACCGGAUAGGAGCUCCUGCUGCAUGGUGGGGGUUGGAAAGUUUCGGCGGUUGGGGAUGGACUCGCGGCUUAUCAGCUUGUUGGUGGGGUAGUGGCUUACCAAGGCUUUGACGGGUAGCCGGCCUGAGAGGGUGACCGGCCACAUGGGGACUGAGAUAGGGCCCAGACUCCUACGGGAGGCAGCAGGGGGGAAUAUUGCACAAUGGGCGGAAGCCUGAUGCAGCAACGCCGCGUGCGGGAUGACGUCCUUCGGGUUGUAAACCGCUUUCUCCUGUGACGAAGCGUGAGUGACGGUAAUGGGUAAAGAAGCACCGGCUAACUACGUG
Molecule: ribosomal RNA, 468 nt
Filed under: uncultured bacterium
Lineage: Bacteria
Description: partial 16S ribosomal RNA
Rfam family: Bacterial small subunit ribosomal RNA
Source: RNAcentral